UAGAAGAGUUCUCUUUCGAAAAGUGC
This 26-nucleotide non-coding RNA is filed under the name Drosophila melanogaster (fruit fly). Lineage: Eukaryota; Metazoa; Arthropoda; Insecta; Diptera; Drosophilidae. The record is from RNAcentral.